This 162-nucleotide ribosomal RNA is filed under the name Lactobacillus gasseri. RNAcentral's name for it is "partial 16S ribosomal RNA". It matches the Rfam family "Bacterial small subunit ribosomal RNA", at positions 1 to 135 of the family's 1533-position model. Lineage: Bacteria; Bacillati; Bacillota; Bacilli; Lactobacillales; Lactobacillaceae. The record is from RNAcentral.
GAAAAUGAGAGUUUGAUCCUGGCUCAGGACGAACGCUGGCGGCGUGCCUAAUACAUGCAAGUCGAGCGAGCUUGCCUAGAUGAAUUUGGUGCUUGCACCAAAUGAAACUAGAUACAAGCGAGCGGCGGACGGGUGAGUAACACGUGGGUAACCUGCCCAAGA